Molecule: long non-coding RNA, 514 nt
Filed under: Monodelphis domestica (gray short-tailed opossum)
Lineage: Eukaryota; Metazoa; Chordata; Mammalia; Didelphimorphia; Didelphidae
Description: lncRNA (ENSMODG00000043496.1)
Source: RNAcentral
UCUCUAUUCCUAUUCAGUCUUCUUUUCAAUUUAUUUAGUGUUGAGUAUGGAGUGGAACUUGAUUCAGGACACUGUGAUGUGGGAAGUUCCAAAGGGAGGAAAAAUAUCUUUGAGGACAAUUUUCUGAAGGGGAUAUUAGGGAUGAGGAACCUUCCCUGACUAUACCCAAGGUCAAACACUGGGCAUGAUAGGAGGACAUAAAUCUAAUUCCUGCUUCUGUGAAGGCUGAAGUUGGAGGAUCACUUGAGUUCAGGAGUUCUGAGUGUCACAGGGUUAAGCCAAUUGGACACUCACAGUAAGCCUGGAACCAAUAUGGUUGACUGCAGCUUGGCUGAAGAUGAAGACUGUGCAUCUGUCUGGGGGGCUAGCAGCUUUGCAGGCAGAAUGGGCAUCCAGAAGGACAUUCACUCAAUGAACAGAGCCAAGCCAUGAAUUGGAGCUUGAUGAAGGAAGAGACCCUGCUAUCCUCAUUUCAGAGGUGCUGAGGAGAAAGUUUGUUCUGAAGGAAGAAGAU